GAGGAUGUAGUUCAAUGGUAGAGCACUCGCCUAGAAUGCGCAAGGCCCUGGGUUCUAUCCCCAGCACCUUCA
RNAcentral lists this transfer RNA (72 nucleotides) under Marmota monax (woodchuck). It matches the Rfam family "tRNA". Rfam says of the family: Transfer RNA (tRNA) molecules are approximately 80 nucleotides in length. Their secondary structure includes four short double-helical elements and three loops (D, anti-codon, and T loops). Lineage: Eukaryota; Metazoa; Chordata; Mammalia; Rodentia; Sciuridae. The record is from Rfam by way of RNAcentral.